Molecule: ribosomal RNA, 1079 nt
Filed under: uncultured bacterium
Lineage: Bacteria
Description: bacterial SSU rRNA
Rfam family: Bacterial small subunit ribosomal RNA
Source: RNAcentral
AGAGUUUGAUUAUGGCUCAGGAUGAACGCUGGCGGCGUGCUUAACACAUGCAAGUCGAACGGAAAGGCCACAGCUUGCUGUGGUACUCGAGUGGCGAACGGGUGAGUAACACGUGGGUGAUCUGCCCUGUACUUCGGGAUAAGCUUGGGAAACUGGGUCUAAUACCGGAUAUGACCACUUUUUGGAUGGGGUGGUGGAAAGCUUUUGCGGUAUGGGAUGAGCUCGCGGCCUAUCAGCUUGUUGGUGGGGUAAUGGCCUACCAAGGCGUCGACGGGUAGCCGGCCUGAGAGGGUGUACGGCCACAUUGGGACUGAGAUACGGCCCAGACUCCUACGGGAGGCAGCAGUGGGGAAUAUUGCACAAUGGGCGCAAGCCUGAUGCAGCGACGCCGCGUGGGGGAUGACGGCCUUCGGGUUGUAAACUCCUUUCGUCAGGGACGAAGCGUAAGUGACGGUACCUGGAUAAGAAGCACCGGCUAACUACGUGCCAGCAGCCGCGGUAAUACGUAGGGUGCGAGCGUUGUCCGGAAUUACUGGGCGUAAAGAGCUCGUAGGUGGUUUGUCGCGUCGUUUGUGUAAGUCCACGGCUUAACUGUGGGAUGGCAGGCGAUACGGGCAUAACUUGAGUGCUGUAGGGGAGACUGGAAUUCCUGGUGUAGCGGUGAAAUGCGCAGAUAUCAGGAGGAACACCGAUGGCGAAGGCAGGUCUCUGGGCAGUAACUGACGCUGAGGAGCGAAAGCAUGGGUAGCGAACAGGAUUAGAUACCCUGGUAGUCCAUGCCGUAAACGGUGGGCGCUAGGUGUGAGUCCCUUCCACGGGGUUCGUGCCGUAGCUAACGCAUUAAGCGCCCCGCCUGGGGAGUACGGCCGCCAGGCUAAAACUCAAAGGAACUGACGGGGGNCCNCACAAGCGGCGGANCAUGUGGAUUAAUUCGAUGCACNCGAAAAACCUUACCUGGGCUNGACAUACACCANAUCGNCGCAAAAAUGCGUUUUCCCUNGUGGUUGGUGUACAGGUGGUGCAUGGUUGUCCUCCCCCNUGUCCUGAAAUUUNGGUUAAUUCCCCANCGAGCCCACCCU